UGGGGAAUAUUGCACAAUGGGGAAACCGUAGCAUGCAGCGACGCCGCGUGAGGGAAGAAGGUUUUCGGAUUGUAAACCUCUGUCCUUGGUGACGAAAAUGACGGUAGCCAAGGAGGAAGCCACGGCUAACUACGUGCCAGCAGCCGCGGUAAUACGUAGGUGGCAAGCGUUGUCCGGAAUUACUGGGUGUAAAGGGAGCGUAGGCGGGAAGAUAAGUUGGACGUCUAAUCUAUCGGCUCAACCGAUAGUCGCGUUCAAAACUGUUUUUCUUGAGUGAAGUAGAGGUAAGCGGAAUUCCUAGUGUAGCGGUGAAAUGCGUAAAUAUUAGGAGGAACACCAGUGGCGAAGGCGGCUUACUGGGCUUUAACUGACGCUGAGGCUCGAAAGCGUGGGUAGCAAACAGGAUUAGAUACCC
This 415-nucleotide ribosomal RNA is filed under the name uncultured bacterium. RNAcentral's name for it is "bacterial SSU rRNA". It matches the Rfam family "Bacterial small subunit ribosomal RNA", at positions 355 to 787 of the family's 1533-position model. The record is from RNAcentral.